RNAcentral lists this ribosomal RNA (300 nucleotides) under uncultured Nocardia sp. RNAcentral's name for it is "bacterial SSU rRNA". The stretch from base 52 to 300 matches the Rfam family "Bacterial small subunit ribosomal RNA", at positions 547 to 795 of the family's 1533-position model. Lineage: Bacteria; Bacillati; Actinomycetota; Actinomycetes; Mycobacteriales; Nocardiaceae. The record is from RNAcentral.
UGUAAGGGUGUGGCGGGAGGCGGGGUAAGGCGAACCGUGGGAACGUUGUGCGGAAUCACUGGGGUUGAAGGGCGCGUAGGCGGCAGAUCAAGGCCGGGGGGAAAGCGUCCCGCUCAACGGGAGAAGGGCCUUGGAUACUGAGCUGCUCGAGGGAGGUAGGGGUCGAGGGAACUUCUGGUGGAGCGGUGAAAUGCGUUGAUAUCAGAAGGAACGCCGGUGGCGAAAGCGCUCGACUGGACCUUUUCUGACGCUGAGGCGCGAAAGCUAGGGGAGCAAACGGGAUUAGAUACCCUAGUAGUC